AUGGGCGUCGAGGAGCAACAUGUGCAGCAACCAGACAGUGGGGGAAAGCCUGAUGCCGUCAAGCCACCAACUCCGGUACACGGUCAUAAACCAAGCAACCCCCGUAUAUCAACCUGCAGCGCCGACAAGGACGACGGCCUCUCUCUUUGCCGGGUGUGCCACUGCGUGGAGCCUGAUCUGAGAGGCGAGUCUGCUCUGGGUUUCCUAGGCAUUGUACCGCCUUCGCCAGACCCCUCGGUCGACAAGGACCCAAGCAAUGACACCACCAAAACUUCCACCAGCAAGGAUGCUCCCAAGUUUCUCGAGUUCAUAAGCCCCGAGGGGGAGAUCUUCAAGUGCGCCACCGACAUCGAAUCAGGCCAUUUGCAGCGGCAAGACGACGUCGUGAACCUCGGAUGCUCUUGCAAGAACGAGCUCGCCCUCGCGCACUACGCGUGCGCGCUCAAGUGGUUCAUCAGCCACGGGUCCACCGUGUGCGAGAUUUGCGGAAAUGUCGCUACAAACGUGAGGCCCGAGGAUUUCAACAUGGUGCUCGCCUCCUUGAAGGACUACGAAGCUCUGAGGGAAAGGACGUCUACCGGGGAUCUCUCCUACUUGCACUACAGGGCGGACGCGUUCGUCGAUCCGGUCGCCCUUGCCGCAGUACGGAGACAGCGGCUUUGUGAGAUAUCAUCAUGGUUCAACCCUCACAAUACACAUUUCGUGUUUUCUCAGAGGCACAAUGAAGAAGUGCCAGUUAGCCCAAGUAAUAAUUCUGUAGACUAUAGUGUUACGGCUGCGAGGGCAGCACAUGCGAGGCGGAAGUUUGGGAGUAGUGGAGCAUUUGUUGCUAUCGCUCUGGGUUUUGUUCUUCUUGCAUGGUUUGUUGCUCCACAUGUUGGCAAGAGAGCGGCUGCAAUCAUUCUUCAUAUGCUUCUGGGAGGCCUCUGCUCACUGACUAUAAUAAUCUCACUAAGAUUUGUUAGUCUUCCCGAGGAUCCAGUUUGGGUCGAUCCGAUGCUGGGCGAUCCUGUUCGUGUCCUGGUUCCUCGUGUUUGGAGUGUGGGCCUCUCGAACCCGCACCGCCCGCCGCGCGUCAUGAUGAUAUCGAGUGUGCCCUCAGUCAGUCGUCGUCAGGAAUUAGGACCGCGUCGCAAGAGUAGCGUCCACGAGAGCGUUAGGUACCGCACCCCUGUCUAUAUUCGCCGCGAGCUAUACCAUGGACGUACUAUUUUUUCUUUAGCUGGAGUAUGUGAGAUGUACAACAUGUUUGGGCAAGAAAACAAGGGGAGUUAUGUUACUGAGUGUUGUGGUUUCAGACAUAGCUGGAGUAGUACUGGUCUGGUCAGUGUUGCAAAACAAUACAGUAAUGUGUGUAUAUAUUUAGCUUUUUCUUGA
RNAcentral lists this ribosomal RNA (1377 nucleotides) under Triticum aestivum (bread wheat). Its description in RNAcentral is "partial small subunit ribosomal RNA". Lineage: Eukaryota; Viridiplantae; Streptophyta; Magnoliopsida; Poales; Poaceae. The record is from RNAcentral.